UUCCGGUUGAUCCUGCCGGACCUGACUGCUAUCGGAUUGAUACUAAGCCAUGCGAGUCAUUGUAGCAAUACAAGGCAGACGGCCCAGUAACGCGUAGUCAACCUAACCUAUGGACGGGAAUAACCUCGGGAAACUGAGAAUAAUGCCCGAUAGAACACUAUGCCUGGAAUGGUUUGUGUUCCAAAUGAUUUAUCGCCGUAGGAUGGGACUGCGGCCUAUCAGUUUGUUGGUGAGGUAAUGGCCCACCAAGACUAUUACAGGUACGGGCUCUGAGAGGAGUAGCCCGGAGAUGGGUACUGAGACACGGACCCAGGCCCUAUGGGGCGCAGCAGGCGAGAAAACUUUGCAAUGUGCGAAAGCACGACAAGGUUAAUCCGAGUGGUUUGUGCUAAACGAACCUUUUGUCGGUCCUAGAAACACCGAUGAAUAAGGGGUGGGCAAGUUCUGAUGUCAGCCGCCGCGGUAAAACCAGCACCUCAAGUGGUCAGGAUGAUUAUUGGGCCUAAAGCAUCCGUAGCCGGCUCUGUAAGUUUUCGGUUAAAUCUGUACGCUCAACGUACAGGCUGCCGGGAAUACUGCAGAGCUAGGGAGUGGGAGAGGUAGACGGUACUCGGUAGGAAGGGGUAAAAUCCUUUGAUCUAUUGAUGACCACCUGUGGCGAAGGCGGUCUACCAGAACACGUCCGACGGUGAGGGAUGAAAGCUGGGGGAGCAAACCGGAUUAGAUACCCGGGUAGUCCCAGCUGUAAACUAUGCAAACUCAGUGAUGCAUUGGCUUGUGGCCAAUGCAGUGCUGCAG
RNAcentral lists this ribosomal RNA (798 nucleotides) under uncultured archaeon. RNAcentral describes it as "bacterial SSU rRNA". It matches the Rfam family "Archaeal small subunit ribosomal RNA", at positions 1 to 806 of the family's 1478-position model. The record is from RNAcentral.